Long non-coding RNA from Lagenorhynchus albirostris (white-beaked dolphin), 250 nucleotides. RefSeq lists it as uncharacterized. The transcript is spliced from 3 exons. The record is from RefSeq and is a predicted model, not a curated record. Lineage: Eukaryota; Metazoa; Chordata; Mammalia; Artiodactyla; Delphinidae.
CUGAGGAAGAAAAACAUAGGGACUUCCACAGAACUGGACCCUGCAUCCUGGGAAAGGCAGUCUUGUCCAUGAAGAUGCUGGGGAUUCAUACAUUAAUAUAAGGCUGCCCUUGACUUUUGGUGAAGAACACAGCCAUACGAAGUGUCACAGCCAGCAGAGGCAAGAGUGAGAAGAAAGGUCUGGUGCUAUUCAGUCUACUGCAUGAAACCUUACCAGAGAAGUCUCCAGAGCUGGUGCUGUUGUAUUGCUG